This 498-nucleotide ribosomal RNA is filed under the name uncultured bacterium. RNAcentral's name for it is "partial 16S ribosomal RNA". It matches the Rfam family "Bacterial small subunit ribosomal RNA", at positions 29 to 523 of the family's 1533-position model. The record is from RNAcentral.
AUUGAACGCUGGCGGCAUGCCUUACACAUGCAAGUCGAACGGUAACAGGUCUUCGGAUGCUGACGAGUGGCGAACGGGGGAGUAAUACAUCGGAACGUGCCUAGUAGUGGGGGAUAACUACUCGAAAGAGUGGCUAACACCGAAUGGGAACUACGGAUGAAAACAGGAGAUAGCAAGCCGUUGUGCUACGAGCACGGCAGAUGUGAGAUUAGGUAGUUGGUGGGAUAAAAGCGUACCAAGCCGACGAUCUGUAGCUGGUCGGAGAGGACGAUCAGCCACACUGGGACUGGGACACGGCCCAGACUCCUACGGGAGGAAGCAGUGGGGAAUGUUGGACAAUGGGCGAAAGCCUGAUCCAGCAAUGCCGCGUGCAGGAUGAAGGCCUUCGGGUUGUAAACUGCUUUUGUACGGAACGAAAAGCCCCGGGUUAAUACCCUGGGGUCAUGACGGUACCGUAAGAAUAAGCACCGGCUAACUACGUGCCAGCCGCCGCGGUAA